UGGGGGGAUUAGUGGCGAACGGGUGAGUAACACGUGAGUAACCUGCCCUUGACUCUGGGAUAAGCCUGGGAAACCGGGUCUAAUACUGGAUACGACCUUCUGGCGCAUGCCAUGUUGGUGGAAAGCUUUUGUGGUUUUGGAUGGACUCGCGGCCUAUCAGCUUGUUGGUGGGGUAAUGGCCUACCAAGGCGACGACGGGUAGCCGGCCUGAGAGGGUGACCGGCCACACUGGGACUGAGACACGGCCCAGACUCCUACGGGAGGCAGCAGUGGGGAAUAUUGCACAAUGGGCGCAAGCCUGAUGCAGCGACGCCGCGUGAGGGAUGAAGGCCUUCGGGUUGUAAACCUCUUUCAGUAGGGAAGAAGCCGCUCCUUUGGGGGUGGUGACGGUACCUGCAGAAGAAGCGCCGGCUAACUACGUGCCAGCAGCCGCGGUAAUACGUAGGGCGCAAGCGUUAUCCGGAAUUAUUGGGCGUAAAGAGCUCGUAGGCGGUUUGUCGCGUCUGCCGUGAAAGUCCGGGGCUUAACUCCGGAUCUGCGGUGGGUACGGGCAGACUAGAGUGCAGUAGGGGAGACUGGAAUUCCUGGUGUAGCGGUGAAAUGCGCAGAUAUCAGGAGGAACACCGAUGGCGAAGGCAGGUCUCUGGGCUGUAACUGACGCUGAGGAGCGAAAGCAUGGGGAGCGAACAGGAUUAGAUACCCUGGUAGUCCAUGCCGUAAACGUUGGGCACUAGGUGUGGGGGACAUUCCACGUUUUCC
This 759-nucleotide ribosomal RNA is filed under the name Arthrobacter agilis. RNAcentral's name for it is "bacterial SSU rRNA". It matches the Rfam family "Bacterial small subunit ribosomal RNA", at positions 84 to 842 of the family's 1533-position model. Lineage: Bacteria; Bacillati; Actinomycetota; Actinomycetes; Micrococcales; Micrococcaceae. The record is from RNAcentral.